Molecule: long non-coding RNA, 393 nt
Organism: Passer domesticus (house sparrow)
Lineage: Eukaryota; Metazoa; Chordata; Aves; Passeriformes; Passeridae
Exons: 3
Source: RefSeq, a predicted model, not a curated record
UUAGAUAAAAGCAAUUAGUGAUAGAUGUAAUUGUGUAGUUUGGCCAUAUUGAGUAAAAGUAGUUUUUAACUGUUGUCACUGUUUUCAAGGCUAAAUCUGUGUUUGCAGAGUCAGUGAUGUUUUAAUGCUGCUUCAAGGAUGCUGCUCCGUGGCAGUCAUCUUGGUAAAUCCUUUGUUGUCCAACAAGUAGAGGAACAACAAGUUUACUGUGAAUCUUAACAUCAGGACAGGACUGCAGCUGAUUUCUUGUUGCUCCAGUAGCACAGAACUUUUUACACAGCACAGUAUGGUUUCAUAAAUUGAAAGUGUCAUGAAAAGCUGUAAUGUCUUUGCAAUGAAAAACAGAUGAAGGAAUCAUAAUGAAAAUCAACACUGGAGCUUGCAUCAUCAUAG